AUGAUAGGGUGGGGGGACGUGUACAGGGUGGCGGCCGCCAUGGCGCCGCUCUACUUCGCCCUCGGCCUCGGCUACGGCUCCGUGCGGUGGUGGAAGCUCUUCACCCCGGACCACUGCGACGCCGUCAACCGCCUCGUCGUCUACUUCGCCUUUCCGCUCUUCGGCUUCGACUUCACCGCCCGCGCCGGCUCCUUCGCCGCCGGCUACCGCGUCCUGGCGGCCGACGCCGUCGCCAAGCUCAUCGUCGUGCUCGCGCUCGCCGGGUGCGCCGCCGCCCGGCGCGCCAAGGCCGCGACGCGCCGCGGCGGCGGCAGCGCGCCCUCGUCCUACUCCUGGUGCAUCACCGGCUUCUCGCUGGCGGCGCUCAACAACGGGCUCCUCGUGGGCGUGCCGCUGCUGGACGCCAUGUACGGCAAGUGGGCGCGCGACGUCAUCGUGCAGCUCUCGGUGCUGCAGGCCGUCGUCUGGCUCCCGCUGAUGCUGGUCGUCUUCGAGGCGAGGCAGGCCUGGCUGGAGGUGACCCCGGAGCCGGCUGAUCAAGGCGCCGUCGCGCGCGAAGAAGGCGACCUGCAGGAGGCGCCGGGGAGCGACGUCCACCGGCCAGCAGCAGCCGGAGAUGGCCGGAAAAUGGCGGCGACGGGGUGCGCGUUCUGGGCGCCGCUUCUGCGAGCGGUCGGGGUGAAGCUCGCCCGCAACCCCAACGUGUACGCCAGCCUCCUUGGGGUCGCGUGGUCUUUCGUGGCAAACAGGUGGCACCUGAAGAUGCCAAGCAUCAUAGAUGGCUCCAUCGCGAUCAUGUCAAAGACCUGCAUUGGAAUGGGAAUGUUCAGCAUGGGCAUGUUCAUAGGACUACAAGACAAGUUUAUUGUGUGUGGACUAGGCUUGACCGCGUUGAGCUUGGUGUUGAGGUUCAUCGUGGCACCGGCCGCCACCGUAGCUGGAGCCCUAAUUUUAGGACUCCGUGGUGACCUUCUACGUGUUACUAUCUUGCAGGCUGCACUGCCACAGUCAGUCGCAACAUUUGUCUUCUCACGAGAGUAUGACCUGCAUGCUGGUGUACUUAGUACCGCGUAA
RNAcentral lists this ribosomal RNA (1074 nucleotides) under Triticum aestivum (bread wheat). Its description in RNAcentral is "partial small subunit ribosomal RNA". Lineage: Eukaryota; Viridiplantae; Streptophyta; Magnoliopsida; Poales; Poaceae. The record is from RNAcentral.